GUGUGCAUGGGCAGGGGGCAGUUUUGAAGCUGAAAACAAAACAAACAUAGAUGGACACAACACACAGGUUGUUUUGCUCGCUGGUUUGAUGGUAAUGAUCAACACAUAUAUCUUUCUCUCUCUAAACUCUCCGCCUCAUGAGAGUAGGCUUCUCGACCUCACUCCAGACCUGAGCUUCCUUCACUUCAACUACGUCAGAGUUUCGAGGAACUGUGAGGGGAUGAUGAUGAUGAAGAAUGUCGCUACCUUAACCAUUAUUUGCAUGUCUGCUGUGCCAUGCUUGUGCUUGCUCUUGAUCUGAUUUUAAUGUCAAAUUCGAACUUUCUCUCUCUUCCUUUCUUGUUUUUCCUUUUUUUGAUUUUAUUUUUUAUCAAGCGAUACACAAAACGACGUCGUUUUGUAUAUUUCUGUUACGCCUGUCAAAAACUACAACAUGAUAUAAAGUCUAGGAGUUUAAGUGUUAUAAAUGAAACUAUAAGGGGGUUCCGUGUUUUUGAGAUAAGCCACAGGGGGUUAAAUUAUAAUUUACCCUUUAAUUUUUGUAUGAAUUACUUGUUUGGCGAAUUUUACAAUUUAAACAAACCCCAUUCAUGGGUGCAGCAGGGCCUGUUGUACCCAAGGUAUAACAUGUACCCAAACUAGCAAGAGGGUUCCUGCUGCUAUAAAGCUUGUGGGAAUCCAUUGCGAGCCUCUUUCAGAAGAUUGUUUAUGAAAAAAUUUAGGUUAAUUGGACAUUCAAAACUAUAUGACAGAUCACAUUUGUUUUUAAAAGCAUAAACGGCAAGCAUACUUUUGAUAAUAAUUAAAAAUUAUUGUUUUAUAAUAAUUAGGCCAUGAUUAUAGUUAUCAGUGUCUGAUCAACUUAAGCUCUUACAUAAAUAAUAUGCAUGAUAGGUUCUAUAAAUUGAAUGGUUCCAAUAGUUGAAAUAGGCCUGGGAUAGGCCUAACCCAAGUAUCACAGCACAUAAUUUUAGGAACAUUAGAGGCCAAAUGUGAAGAUCCACAGUAUGGGUUAGUGGACAACGACGGAGACUAUGACUCCGCAGCUGCUUUGUCAAAUGGGGUCUCAAACCUAUAUGCAUUCCGGCUGCAACCAAGCCACCCUAACCUUCACCAUGGUGGUGGUGGAGGAGUACCAGGAGGAUUUGGGUCUCACGAUCUGCGUCUUGCUUGAGUGUAGCUGCUGGUCAUGGUGAAUUUAAUUGAAAUUGAAGUGAAGUAAUAGACUCCCUCUAUUGUGUGUAUACAUCUCUACUAGUUUUAUUCUUAUAAGUGUUACAACCUAAACACCAGAACAGCUUUUGGUGAUUUGUGUGAGGAUGUGUCUCUUGUGAUGGUAUGUAACAUAACAUGUUGCUUAUA
Camellia sinensis is the source of this 1362-nucleotide non-coding RNA. NCBI's taxonomy places the organism in Eukaryota, Viridiplantae, Streptophyta, Magnoliopsida, Ericales, Theaceae. The record is from RefSeq and is a predicted model, not a curated record.